AGCAGCCGCGGUAAUUCCAGCUCCAAUAGCGUAUAUUAAAGUUGUUGCAGUUAAAAAGCUCGUAGUUGAAUUUCGGGGUUAGUAGGUUGGUCAUGCCUCUGGUAUGUACUGGUCUCACUGAUUCCUCCUUCCUGAUGAACCUUAAUGCCAUUAAUUUGGUGUUUUGGGGAAUUUGGACUGUUACUUUGAAAAAUUGAGUGUUUAAAGCAAGCUAACGCUUGAAUACAUUAGCAUGGAAUAAUGAAAUAGGACGUUCGAUCCUAUUUUGUUGGUUUCUAGGAUUGACGUAAUGAUUAAUAGGGAUAGUUGGGGGCAUUAGUAUUCAAUUGUCAGAGGUGAAAUUCUUGGAUUUAUUGAAGACUAACUACUGCGAAAGCAUUUGCCAAGGAUGUUUUCAUUAAUCAAGAACGAAAGUUAGGGGAUCGAAGACGAUCAGAUACCGUCGUAGUCUUAACCAUAAACUAUGCCGACUAGGGAUCGGAUGAUGUUAAUUUUUAAUGACUCAUUCGGCGCCUUACGG
RNAcentral lists this ribosomal RNA (520 nucleotides) under uncultured Glomus. RNAcentral describes it as "SSU rRNA". It matches the Rfam family "Eukaryotic small subunit ribosomal RNA", at positions 569 to 1093 of the family's 1831-position model. The record is from RNAcentral. Lineage: Eukaryota; Fungi; Glomeromycota; Glomeromycetes; Glomerales; Glomeraceae.